Molecule: ribosomal RNA, 468 nt
Filed under: uncultured bacterium
Lineage: Bacteria
Description: partial 16S ribosomal RNA
Rfam family: Bacterial small subunit ribosomal RNA
Source: RNAcentral
GACGAACGCUGGCGGCGUGCUUAACACAUGCAAGUCGAACGGAAAGGCCCUGCUUUUGUGGGGUGCUCGAGUGGCGAACGGGUGAGUAACACGUGAGUAACCUGCCCUUGACUUUGGGAUAACUUCAGGAAACUGGGGCUAAUACCGGAUAGGAGCUCCUGCUGCAUGGUGGGGGUUGGAAAGUUUCGGCGGUUGGGGAUGGACUCGCGGCCUAUCAGCUUGUUGGUGGGGUAGUGGCUUACCAAGGCUUUGACGGGUAGCCGGCCUGAGAGGGUGACCGGCCACAUUGGGACUGAGAUACGGCCCAGACUCCUACGGGAGGCAGCAGUGGGGAAUAUUGCACAAUGGGCGGAAGCCUGAUGCAGCAACGCCGCGUGCGGGAUGACGGCCUUCGGGUCGUAAACCGCUUUCGCCUGUGACGAAGCGUGAGUGACGGUAAUGGGUAAAGAAGCACCGGCUAACUACGUG